UCGCAGCACCUCAUGGUUCGUAG
This 23-nucleotide microRNA is filed under the name Gallus gallus (chicken). Its description in RNAcentral is "microRNA Ros-gga". The record is from RNAcentral. Lineage: Eukaryota; Metazoa; Chordata; Aves; Galliformes; Phasianidae.